RNAcentral lists this ribosomal RNA (377 nucleotides) under uncultured bacterium. Its description in RNAcentral is "bacterial SSU rRNA". It matches the Rfam family "Bacterial small subunit ribosomal RNA", at positions 523 to 898 of the family's 1533-position model. The record is from RNAcentral.
AGACGAACCAUGCGAACGUUAUUCGGAAUGACUGGGCUUAAAGCGUGCGUAGGCGGUCUCGAAAGUUGGGUGUGAAAUCCCCCGGCUCAACCGGGGAAUUGCGCCCAAAACUGCGGGACUCGAGGGAGAUAGAGGUGGGCGGAACUUCGGGUGGAGCGGUGAAAUGCGUUGAUAUCCGAAGGAACACCAGAGGCGAAAGCGGCCCACUGGAUCUUUUCUGACGCUGAGGCACGAAAGCUAGGGGAGCGAACGGGAUUAGAUACCCCGGUAGUCCUAGCCGUAAACGAUGAGCACUGGAUUGGAGGGUCUCCCAUAGCCUUCCGGUCGUAGCGAAAGUGUUAAGUGCUCCGCCUGGGGAUUAUGGUCGCAAGGCUGAA